RNAcentral lists this transfer RNA (72 nucleotides) under Pseudomonadota bacterium. RNAcentral describes it as "tRNA-Ile". It matches the Rfam family "tRNA". Rfam says of the family: Transfer RNA (tRNA) molecules are approximately 80 nucleotides in length. Their secondary structure includes four short double-helical elements and three loops (D, anti-codon, and T loops). The record is from RNAcentral. RNAcentral also lists the same sequence under 3 other names. Lineage: Bacteria; Pseudomonadati; Pseudomonadota.
GGGCUCGUAGCUCAGCGGCAGAGCGGCCGGCUCAUAACCGGUUGGUCGCAGGUUCGAAUCCUGCCGAGCCCA